UACAGAGGUCUCAAGCGUUGUUCGGAUUCAUUGGGCGUAAAGGGUGCGUAGGCGGCGGGGCAAGUCUGGUGUGAAAUCCCGGGGCUCAACCCCGGAACUGCACUGGAUACUGCCUUGCUAGAGUACUGGAGAGGGAACUGGAAUUUACGGUGUAGCAGUGAAAUGCGUAGAGAUCGUAAGGAAGACCAGUGGCGAAGGCGAGUUCCUGGACAGUAACUGACGCUGAGGCACGAAGGCCAGGGGAGCGAACGGGAUUAGAAA
RNAcentral lists this ribosomal RNA (261 nucleotides) under uncultured bacterium. RNAcentral's name for it is "partial 16S ribosomal RNA". It matches the Rfam family "Bacterial small subunit ribosomal RNA", at positions 524 to 784 of the family's 1533-position model. The record is from RNAcentral.